Molecule: ribosomal RNA, 253 nt
Filed under: uncultured bacterium
Lineage: Bacteria
Description: partial 16S ribosomal RNA
Rfam family: Bacterial small subunit ribosomal RNA
Source: RNAcentral
UACGUAGGGGGCUAGCGUUGUCCGGAAUCAUUGGGCGUAAAGCGCGCGUAGGCGGCCCGGUAAGUCCGCUGUAAAAGUCAAAGGCUCAACCUUUGAAUGUCAGUGGAUACUGCCGGGCUAGAGUCCGGAAGAGGCGAGUGGAACUCCUGGUGUAGCGGUGGAAUGCGCAGAUAUCAGGAAGAACACCGACGGCGAAGGCAGCUCGCUGGGACGGUACUGACGCUGAGGCGCGAAAGCUAGGGGAGCAAACGGG